CCAUAAAGGUAAAAAACGAUAUAUGCAGCGUUAUCUUCGUUUUAGAUGUCAAAUGGGUUUUGUGGCUCCCUUUUUCUUUUUUCUGUGGGAAACGGGUCCAAAUGGCUCUUUGAGUGUUUAAGGUUGCCGACCCCUGGGCUAGAACAUGUUGUUGAUGUUAAAGGCACAGCCCUCUCCUGGCUCCAGUCUUAUUUGACCAAUCGCUCUCAGUUUGUAUAUCUAUUUGGUGACUAAACAAACUAAGCUAAGGUUUAUAGUCCAGCGCAGAGGGUCACAACUGCAUUAUUUUCAGACAUCACACAUCAACACGAUCAUCAUCUCCAUCAGCAGCCAUGUCCUCCUGUACUCUUUUGCUGCUUCUGCUGGGUCUUUCCUGCCUUCAGAGCUUCACAAAGGCAGAUAGUGCAAGUGGAGCAGAUUUGUGCUGUUUUGAGUUCCACAAAAGACCGUUACCAGCAGCAAACGUUGUUUCUUACGUAGAAACAAGAACUGACUGUACAGUUCCUGCAGUCAUUUUGACCACAAAGAAGGGUUAUCGCAUAUGUGCAGACCCUGAGAUGGACUGGGUGCAGCAGCUCAUCAAAAUUAAAAACUCAGCCUAGAUUCAGGAGACAAAUUAAAGCGUCUCUCCCUGAAAUUAGCUUUACUUUGCAGAAUGCUUCAUUUUACCUACACAGUACUUAAAGCAAUCUGAUAUUGUGUGUAACAAGACAAAGCUUCUUCUUCUGUCUGUUUUUCUUCUGCACAAAUAAAGCACACAUUUAUAACUCA
Molecule: long non-coding RNA, 771 nt
Organism: Tachysurus fulvidraco (yellow catfish)
Lineage: Eukaryota; Metazoa; Chordata; Actinopteri; Siluriformes; Bagridae
Exons: 3
Source: RefSeq, a predicted model, not a curated record